RNAcentral lists this ribosomal RNA (253 nucleotides) under uncultured bacterium. RNAcentral describes it as "partial 16S ribosomal RNA". It matches the Rfam family "Bacterial small subunit ribosomal RNA", at positions 524 to 776 of the family's 1533-position model. The record is from RNAcentral.
UACGGAGGGUGCGAGCGUUGUCCGGAUUUAUUGGGCGUAAAGAGCUCGUAGGCGGUCUGUCGCGUCGGAUGGGAAAACCCAGGGCUCAACCCUGGGCCUGCAUUCGAUACGGGCAGACUAGAGUACGGCAGGGGAGACUGGAAUUCCUGGUGUAGCGGUGAAAUGCGCAGAUAUCAGGAGGAACACCGGUGGCGAAGGCGGGUCUCUGGGCCGAAACUGACGCUGAGGAGCGAAAGCGUGGGGAGCGAACAGG